GUCCUUCUGUAGUUCAUGAGCGUGAAGAUUGGGUGCUCACGGGCACAUGUGAAAUGUGCCACCCUCUGAACCUUGUUACAACAUCGGCACAUUACCCAUCUGACC
Small nucleolar RNA from Homo sapiens (human), 105 nucleotides. It matches the Rfam family "Small nucleolar RNA U13". NCBI's taxonomy places the organism in Eukaryota, Metazoa, Chordata, Mammalia, Primates, Hominidae. The record is from Rfam.